UGGAAAACCCGUUAACGACACAUCAAUUUCAUAAAUAUCCACCGUUCGAUUGGUUUGCGAAGUGCACAGAAUCUUGUGAGGCUCCCCCACCUCCACUUGGCUCAGGGAAAGCUCUAAUGUCUAUAAAUUGGGGUGGGGGGCAUCCCUGACGCAACCAAAGUGUGCCAAGAGUGGGAGCUAAGGAGAGAGGAGGUGGCCAGAGAGCAAUGGGAGGGUCCUCUUCCAAAUCCGCAUUGUGCAGCUGCUUUUCUCCUUGCUAUGAAGAAGCUGAGGGUGAGCAGAGGGGCACCUCAAGUAAAGUCAGAUCCAGUGAUGACGACCGACCGGGAUUUGUUGCCGAUCCGAAAAUCAACGAGAAAUCCUCUGCCUUCAUAGCCAAAUUCCAUGAGAGGCAAGACAACGGACCCCGAUAGGCUUGCAUGCAGUGCAGCUUAGCUUCUGAUUUCAUGUCCCUAGUAUUUAUGCUUGCUGAAGUUUGUUACCAUUUAUAUUUAUAUGUUUCUUCCUUUGAUUUGUAGUAGGUUGAUUUGCGCCUUGUAUUCGGUUGUCGAGGGAAAGAAAAAGGAUAUCAUGAGAUCUAAUUGGGAUAUACUGUUCUGUUGGUAUAUUGUGCAUUUACUUUUAGACUGUAAUAAGAAAACUUUGGAAAUAAAGUUAGCUCUUUGCUCAAGACUGUUCAUUCGUUCAACAUACAACUUGUUAAUUUCCAUCGAGAAAAAAAAAAACAUACAAGUUGUUAAUUUGUAGAAGUUAUAGUGUGCUGUGAAGUGUCAUGGUUACAGUUUAGCAGAG
Molecule: long non-coding RNA, 792 nt
Filed under: Elaeis guineensis (African oil palm)
Lineage: Eukaryota; Viridiplantae; Streptophyta; Magnoliopsida; Arecales; Arecaceae
Description: long non-coding RNA (EGUI_LNC030901)
Source: RNAcentral